GUGCACUUAGCUCAGUGGUUAGAGCAUCACUCUUGAAGGUUGAGGUCGCAGGUUCAAUUCCUGCAGGGCACA
This 72-nucleotide transfer RNA is filed under the name Phakopsora pachyrhizi. Its description in RNAcentral is "tRNA-Ser". It matches the Rfam family "tRNA". Rfam says of the family: Transfer RNA (tRNA) molecules are approximately 80 nucleotides in length. Their secondary structure includes four short double-helical elements and three loops (D, anti-codon, and T loops). Further hydrogen bonds mediate the characteristic L-shaped molecular structure. tRNAs have two regions of fundamental functional importance: the anti-codon, which is responsible for specific mRNA codon recognition, and the 3' end, to which the tRNAs corresponding amino acid is attached (by aminoacyl-tRNA synthetases). tRNAs cope with the degeneracy of the genetic code in two manners: having more than one tRNA (with a specific anti-codon) for a particular amino acid; and 'wobble' base-pairing, i.e. permitting non-standard base-pairing at the 3rd anti-codon position. Lineage: Eukaryota; Fungi; Basidiomycota; Pucciniomycetes; Pucciniales; Phakopsoraceae. The record is from RNAcentral.